UAUCGAUUUCAUCACGUGCGGGU
Molecule: non-coding RNA, 23 nt
Filed under: Arabidopsis thaliana (thale cress)
Lineage: Eukaryota; Viridiplantae; Streptophyta; Magnoliopsida; Brassicales; Brassicaceae
Source: RNAcentral